This 779-nucleotide ribosomal RNA is filed under the name uncultured bacterium. Its description in RNAcentral is "bacterial SSU rRNA". It matches the Rfam family "Bacterial small subunit ribosomal RNA", at positions 8 to 796 of the family's 1533-position model. The record is from RNAcentral.
AGAGUUUGAUCCUGGCUCAGGACGAACGCUGGCGGCGUGCCUAACACAUGCAAGUCGAACGAGGUCCAUCCAGUGGCAACACUGGUGAAGACCUAGUGGCGAACGGGUGAGUAACACGUGAGGAACCUGCCCCGAAGACCGGGAUAACCCUCCGAAAGGAGAGCUAAUACCGGAUACCCCCACUGAACCGCAUGGUUCGGUGAGGAAAUGGAUUCCGCUUCGGGAGGGCCUCGCGGCCUAUCAGCUAGUUGGUGGGGUAACGGCCUACCAAGGCAUCGACGGGUAGCUGGUCUGAGAGGACGAUCAGCCACACUGGGACUGAGACACGGCCCAGACUCCUACGGGAGGCAGCAGUGGGGAAUCUUGCGCAAUGGGCGAAAGCCUGACGCAGCAACGCCGCGUGGGGGAUGAAGGCUCUCGGGUUGUAAACCCCUUUCAGUGGGGACGAAUCAAGACGGUACCCACAGAAGAAGCCCCGGCUAACUACGUGCCAGCAGCCGCGGUAACACGUAGGGGGCAAGCGUUGUCCGGAUUUAUUGGGCGUAAAGAGCUCGUAGGCGGUUCGGUAAGUCAGGCGUUAAAUCCUCAGGCUCAACCUGGGGCCCCGCCUGAUACUGCUGUGACUAGAGUCCGGUAGGGGAGCGUGGAAUUCCUGGUGUAGCGGUGAAAUGCGCAGAUAUCAGGAGGAACACCAGCGGCGAAGGCGGCGCUCUGGGCCGGUACUGACGCUGAGGAGCGAAAGCGUGGGUAGCAAACAGGAUUAGAUACCCUAGUAGUCC